GACGAACGCUGGCGGCGUGCUUAACACUUGCAAGUCGAACGGAAAGGCCCUGCUUGCAGGGUACUCGAGUGGCGAACGGGUGAGUAACACGUGGGUGAUCUGCCCUGCACUUCGGGAUAAGCUUGGGAAACUGGGUCUAAUACCGGAUAGGAACCAUCUUUAGUGUGGUGGUUGGAAAGUUUUUUCGGUGUAGGAUGAGCUCGCGGCCUAUCAGCUUGUUGGUGGGUUAAUGGCCUACCAAGGCGGCGACGGGUAGCCGGCCUGAGAGGGUGUACGGCCACAUUGGGACUGAGAUACGGCCCAGACUCCUACGGGAGGCAGCAGUGGGGAAUAUUGCACAAUGGGCGCAAGCCUGAUGCAGCGACGCCGCGUGGGGGAUGAAGGCCUUCGGGUUGUAAACUCCUUUCGCUAGGGACGAAGCUUUGUUGUGACGGUACCUAGAUAAGAAGCACCGGCUAACUACGUG
This 466-nucleotide ribosomal RNA is filed under the name uncultured bacterium. Its description in RNAcentral is "partial 16S ribosomal RNA". It matches the Rfam family "Bacterial small subunit ribosomal RNA", at positions 28 to 507 of the family's 1533-position model. The record is from RNAcentral.